MicroRNA precursor from Colobus angolensis palliatus, 97 nucleotides. NCBI's taxonomy places the organism in Eukaryota, Metazoa, Chordata, Mammalia, Primates, Cercopithecidae. The record is from Ensembl.
AUAAAAUUUCCAGUUGGAACCUAAUGAUUCAUCAGACUCAGAUAUUUAAGUUAACAGUAUUUGAGUCUGAUGAAUCAUUAGGUUCCGGUCAGAAAUU